Molecule: ribosomal RNA, 280 nt
Filed under: Escherichia coli
Lineage: Bacteria; Pseudomonadati; Pseudomonadota; Gammaproteobacteria; Enterobacterales; Enterobacteriaceae
Description: partial 23S ribosomal RNA
Rfam family: Bacterial large subunit ribosomal RNA
Source: RNAcentral
GGGGGACGGAGAAGGCUAUGUUGGCCGGGCGACGGUUGUCCCGGUUUAAGCGUGUAGGCUGGUUUUCCAGGCAAAUCCGGAAAAUCAAGGCUGAGGCGUGAUGACGAGGCACUACGGUGCUGAAGCAACAAAUGCCCUGCUUCCAGGAAAAGCCUCUAAGCAUCAGGUAACAUCAAAUCGUACCCCAAACCGACACAGGUGGUCAGGUAGAGAAUACCAAGGCGCUUGAGAGAACUCGGGUGAAGGAACUAGGCAAAAUGGUGCCGUAACUUCGGGAGAA